CCUUUCUUACCCAACAGUGCAACUGAAGGACCUGCUGUGCUGCACCUGGAUGUGGUGGAAAGUUCGAUGGCUUCAGCAGCUCUGAACUGCACUCCAGCUGCCCAGCAUGAUGUCUGCUUAAAAGAGCAGCUGUGCAACCAGGGAACACACCUGAUUAUUUCCUGAUCAGGGCUGCCCUGCGUAAAGGAGUGGUUUCCACUGUGUACCAUCCGGACGUGCAAUCUUCCCCUCCAACACUGCUACUCUUUUCUCUGCUCUUGUCCUGGAGGUGGCUACAGAGGAGGGGCAGCAGGAUGCCGCGCUGGCCCAGGAGGGAAAGAAGAGGCCACUGUGCUGUGCCAUGUGCUGUGUGGCACUGCAGCAAGAAGCAGGGCAGAGGCCACCGUGCUGGACUGCAGGAAUGUUGGAUAUCUGCACACUGCAGGAAAACAUGAGGAAGGAGUCGUGUGGAGUUAGUGACUCACACAAUUAAGAUUUGGCAUGGCUGAGUGGGAAGAUAGCAACAUGGUUUUCCCAUAAAAGGGGCAAAUAUGUUAUUGCUGUGGUAUAUGAGAUUUAAUUAAAUGGCAAGGUCAAUUCAACUACUUCCAAAACUUUUGUUUGGAAGCUUGCGAGGCUUUGUUUCCUGCUAAAGCUGUUCAUUGAGUAUUACCAAUUAGUUCCCCUGAAAAUGAGAUUGAUUUCAU
Chiroxiphia lanceolata (lance-tailed manakin) is the source of this 686-nucleotide long non-coding RNA. RefSeq lists it as uncharacterized. NCBI's taxonomy places the organism in Eukaryota, Metazoa, Chordata, Aves, Passeriformes, Pipridae. The transcript is spliced from 3 exons. The record is from RefSeq and is a predicted model, not a curated record.